UACGAAGGGUGCAAGCGUUACUCGGAAUUACUGGGCGUAAAGCGUGCGUAGGUGGUUCGUUAAGUCUGAUGUGAAAGCCCUGAGCUCAACCUGGGAAUGGCAUUGGAAACUGGCGACCUAGAGUGCGGUAGAGGGUAGUGGAAUUCCCGGUGUAGCAGUGAAAUGCGUAGAGAUCGGGAGGAACAUCUGUGGCGAAGGCGACUACCUGGACCAGCACUGACACUGAGGCACGAAAGCGUGGGGAGCAAACAGG
This 253-nucleotide ribosomal RNA is filed under the name uncultured bacterium. RNAcentral describes it as "partial 16S ribosomal RNA". It matches the Rfam family "Bacterial small subunit ribosomal RNA", at positions 524 to 776 of the family's 1533-position model. The record is from RNAcentral.